Molecule: long non-coding RNA, 605 nt
Organism: Malania oleifera
Lineage: Eukaryota; Viridiplantae; Streptophyta; Magnoliopsida; Santalales; Ximeniaceae
Exons: 2
Source: RefSeq, a predicted model, not a curated record
AUCGACUUUCUGUUGUGUCACCAAAUUUUCCAUCUUUCUUUCUUUCCUCGUUCAUUUAAAGGCACAAUUCCAAAUCUCAAUGCAAGUUUGAUCUGUUGCUAGCUUUGUGGAAGUGCAGGCCAUUUCAGAAUUUACAGUCAUUCAAAUCUAGGACGUUGAUCAGAGAAAGAGAGAAUAUUAAUGGAGGGAGAACAGAGAGCUAACAAGCAGGAAAUGAAGGUGGAGAUUCCAUCCCUCCAGGAAGCCGGCGUGGAGAUUCCGACACCCAGCGGGCUCACGAGACAGCCCAGUACGGGCAGCGGUGCAAAGGGCAAUUGCCUCUGCUCUCCCACCACUCACGCCGGUUCAUUCCGGUGCCGCCUCCAUCGCGCACCCUCUCUCCAACGCACCAAAAGCAUGGACUGUCCUAACAAGCCUGCUGCUGACGCGAACACUGCAGUACAUCCCCAGCAUUAGUACAUAUAUAUAUAUAUAUAUAUAUAUAUAUAUAUAUAUAUCAAGUUAAAUUAAUAUUGCAUCUGCUGCUAUAUUAAGUACAUAUGAACAAGUUCUUGUUUUGUAAUUCUAUGCUUCUAUAGUUCUAAUCCACCACGCUUAAAAUUAAA